CAGCAGCCGCGGUAAUACGUAGGGGGCAAGCGUUAUCCGGAUUUACUGGGUGUAAAGGGAGCGUAGACGGCAUGGCAAGCCAGAUGUGAAAGCCCGGGGCUCAACCCCGGGACUGCAUUUGGAACUGUCAGGCUAGAGUGUCGGAGAGGAAAGCGGAAUUCCUAGUGUAGCGGUGAAAUGCGUAGAUAUUAGGAGGAACACCAGUGGCGAAGGCGGCUUUCUGGACGAUGACUGACGUUGAGGCUCGAAAGCGUGGGGAGCAAACAGGAUUAGAUACCCUGGUAGUCCACGCGGUAAACGAUGAAUGCUAGGUGUCGGGUGACAAAGUCAUUCGGUGCCGCCGCAAACGCAUUAAGCAUUCCACCUGGGGAGU
Molecule: ribosomal RNA, 373 nt
Filed under: uncultured bacterium
Lineage: Bacteria
Description: bacterial SSU rRNA
Rfam family: Bacterial small subunit ribosomal RNA
Source: RNAcentral